GAUGAACGCUGGCGGCGUGCUUAACACAUGCAAGUCGAACGAAGCAUUAUAUUAGAAGUUUUCGGAUGGAAGAUAUAAUGACUGAGUGGCGGACGGGUGAGUAACGCGUGGAUAACCUGCCUCAUACAGGGGGAUAACACUCAGAAAUGGGUGCUAAUACCGCAUAAGCGCACAGGACCGCAUGGUCUGGUCUGAAAAACUCCGGUGGUAUGAGAUGGAUCCGCGUCCGAUUAGCUAGUUGGUAAGGUAACGGCUUACCAAGGCGACGAUCAGUAGCCGGCCUGAGAGGGUGACCGGCCACAUUGGGACUGAGACACGGCCCAGACUCCUACGGGAGGCAGCAGUGGGGAAUAUUGGGCAAUGGGCGAAAGCCUGACCCAGCGACGCCGCGUGGAGGAAGAAGGUUUUCGGAUUGUAAACUCCUGUCUUCGGGGAAGAUAAUGACGGUACCCGAGGAGGAAGCCACGGCUAACUACGUGCCAGCAGCCGCGGUAAUAC
RNAcentral lists this ribosomal RNA (498 nucleotides) under uncultured bacterium. RNAcentral's name for it is "bacterial SSU rRNA". It matches the Rfam family "Bacterial small subunit ribosomal RNA", at positions 28 to 526 of the family's 1533-position model. The record is from RNAcentral.